This 432-nucleotide ribosomal RNA is filed under the name uncultured bacterium. Its description in RNAcentral is "partial 16S ribosomal RNA". It matches the Rfam family "Bacterial small subunit ribosomal RNA", at positions 29 to 506 of the family's 1533-position model. The record is from RNAcentral.
AACGAACGCUGGCGGCAGGCCUAACACAUGCAAGUCGAGCGCGCCCUUCGGGGUGAGCGGCGGACGGGUGAGUAACGCGUGGGAACGUGCCCUUCUCUGCGGAAUAGCCUCGGGAAACUGAGAGUAAUACCGCAUACGCCCUUUGGGGGAAAGAUUUAUCGGAGAAGGAUCGGCCCGCGUUGGAUUAGGUAGUUGGUGGGGUAAUGGCCCACCAAGCCGACGAUCCAUAGCUGGUUUGAGAGGAUGAUCAGCCACACUGGGACUGAGACACGGCCCAGACUCCUACGGGAGGCAGCAGUGGGGAAUCUUAGACAAUGGGGGCAACCCUGAUCUAGCCAUGCCGCGUGAGUGAUGAAGGCCUUAGGGUUGUAAAGCUCUUUCAGCUGGGAAGAUAAUGACGGUACCAGCAGAAGAAGCCCCGGCUAACUCCGU